AUCCUUCAGUUUUCUUUCCCAUCAGAUGUGAACACGGUCUGAGUGGUAACAAAGGAGGAAAGGUCACAUUAAAACUGACUUCAGUGUGCUGUGGCACAUGAGCUAGCUUAAGAAGAUG
Molecule: small nucleolar RNA, 118 nt
Filed under: Echinops telfairi (small Madagascar hedgehog)
Lineage: Eukaryota; Metazoa; Chordata; Mammalia; Afrosoricida; Tenrecidae
Description: Small nucleolar RNA SNORA61 (ENSETEG00000025966.1)
Source: RNAcentral